GCUUGUCUCAAAGAUUAAGCCAUGCAUGUCUUAGUGUAAAUAACUCUUAUGAAACUGCGAAUGGCUCAUUAAAUCAGUUAUCGUUUAUUUGAUGGUCCCUUACUACAUGGAUAACCGUAGUAAUUCUAGAGCUAAUACAUGCAUCAAACCCCGACUUCUGGAAGGGGUGUAUUUAUUAGAUGGAAACCAAUGCAGGGCAACCUGGAAUAUGGUGAUUCAUAAUAACUCGCGGAUCGGUUUACCGAUGCAUCAUUCAAGUUUCUGCCCUAUCAUGCUCUCGAUGGUAGUGUAUUGGACUACCAUGGCUCUCACGGGUAACGGGGAAUUAGGGUUCGAUUCCGGAGAAGGAGCCUGAGAAACGGCUACUACAUCUAAGGAAGGCAGCAGG
Molecule: ribosomal RNA, 388 nt
Filed under: uncultured Chrysophyceae
Lineage: Eukaryota; Chrysophyceae
Description: partial small subunit ribosomal RNA
Rfam family: Eukaryotic small subunit ribosomal RNA
Source: RNAcentral